RNAcentral lists this ribosomal RNA (253 nucleotides) under uncultured bacterium. Its description in RNAcentral is "partial 16S ribosomal RNA". It matches the Rfam family "Bacterial small subunit ribosomal RNA", at positions 524 to 776 of the family's 1533-position model. The record is from RNAcentral.
GACAGAGGUGCCAAGCGUUAGGCGGAAUCACUGGGCUUAAAGCGUGUGUAGGCGGAUCGUUAAGUGCCUUGUGAAAUCCCACGGCUUAACCGUGGAACUGCUCGGCAUACUGGCGGUCUUGAGCAACCUAGGGGCGAGCGGAACAAAUGGUGGAGCGGUGAAAUGCGUAGAUAUCAUUUGGAACGCCAAUGGUGAAAACAGCUCGCUGGGGGUUUGCUGACGCUGAGACACGAAAGCCAGGGGAGCGAAUGGG